Molecule: long non-coding RNA, 754 nt
Organism: Mesocricetus auratus (golden hamster)
Lineage: Eukaryota; Metazoa; Chordata; Mammalia; Rodentia; Cricetidae
Exons: 3
Source: RefSeq, a predicted model, not a curated record
GGCAGCGGAAAACUGCUUGGCUCCUCUGGGUUGCUUGUUUGGUAUCUUUCAGGUUGGAGCAGCCUUGGAUGACCUGGAGUCUGGAAUUGUGAGUGCUGCCCUGGUCCUGGGGAGAACAUGAAUACUGGAAUCAAAAGAAUGGACCUUGAACCUGAGGCAGCCCAGGUUGCCUGGCAUUGGGUUGCCGCCAUGUGACCUGCCUCAGAGGCUCAAAGGCUCAUUUAGAAACCUCUCCGUCGCCUCGCUUUAUAUUUUGCUCCUGAUUUCUCCAAGGCUGACACGAGUCACAUGUAAUCAAAUCUGUAUUCCUGGUGGACAAGCCUUGUCGUAAUAGCCUCUGACUCACCACCACGUUGUCUUCAGCUCAGCAGUUCCUUCUAGAAAAUCAUGUUUUUGUACGGCAUGCUCAAUGCUCUCAGCGAACCACGCACCCUAUUAUCUAAAACAAUUAAAAGCAUACAUGCUUAUGUAUAACUCACGUUCAACUGUGUCAAGACAUAAAUACAUACGAAGAUCCAAAUGAAAAAUGCCAACAAUAAAUGACUCUCUGUGAUGUUACUGUUUUUAUUUAUUUAUUUUUAUGCAAUCACUCAUACUAGGCAAACACUGUGUCACUGAGUUACUUUUUACUUCUGUGUUUAGCUUUAAAAUAUAAAUGAAACUUUACUGUUCUUGCAUUCAUACUGUAUUAUAUUUCUGUAUUAUAUUACAUAAAAGAAUGUUUUCAAUAGAAAAUAUAAUUACUUAAAGAAAA